AUUGAACGCUGGCGGCAUGCCUUACACAUGCAAGUCGAACGGCAGCACGGGUGCUUGCACCUGGUGGCGAGUGGCGAACGGGUGAGUAAUACAUCGGAACAUGUCCUGUAGUGGGGGAUAGCCCGGCGAAAGCCGGAUUAAUACCGCAUACGAUCUACGGAUGAAAGCGGGGGACCUUCGGGCCUCGCGCUAUAGGGUUGGCCGAUGGCUGAUUAGCUAGUUGGUGGGGUAAAGGCCUACCAAGGCGACGAUCAGUAGCUGGUCUGAGAGGACGACCAGCCACACUGGCACUGAGACACGGCCCAGACUCCUACGGGAGGCAGCAGUGGGGAAUUUUGGACAAUGGGCGAAAGCCUGAUCCAGCAAUGCCGCGUGUGUGAAGAAGGCCUUCGGGUUGUAAAGCACUUUUGUCCGGAAAGAAAUCCUUGGCCCUAAUACGGUCGGGGGAUGACGGUACCGGAAGAAUAAGCACCGGCUAACUACGUG
This 486-nucleotide ribosomal RNA is filed under the name uncultured bacterium. Its description in RNAcentral is "partial 16S ribosomal RNA". It matches the Rfam family "Bacterial small subunit ribosomal RNA", at positions 30 to 507 of the family's 1533-position model. The record is from RNAcentral.